AGUCCCGUGGCUCAGUUGGUUAGAGUGCAAUGCUCCUAACGCCGAGGUCGCGGGUUCGAUUCCCACCUGGGCCA
Rhinolophus ferrumequinum (greater horseshoe bat) is the source of this 74-nucleotide non-coding RNA. NCBI's taxonomy places the organism in Eukaryota, Metazoa, Chordata, Mammalia, Chiroptera, Rhinolophidae. The record is from the annotation of a RefSeq genome assembly.